RNAcentral lists this ribosomal RNA (253 nucleotides) under uncultured bacterium. RNAcentral describes it as "partial 16S ribosomal RNA". It matches the Rfam family "Bacterial small subunit ribosomal RNA", at positions 524 to 776 of the family's 1533-position model. The record is from RNAcentral.
UACGAAGGGGGCUAGCGUUGCUCGGAAUCACUGGGCGUAAAGCGCACGUAGGCGGCUUUUUAAGUCAGGGGUGAAAUCCUGGAGCUCAACUCCAGAACUGCCUUUGAUACUGGCAACCUAGAGACUGGAAGAGGUUAGUGGAAUUCCCAGUGUAGAGGUGAAAUUCGUAGAUAUUGGGAAGAACACCAGUGGCGAAGGCGGCUAACUGGUCCAGCACUGACGCUGAGGUGCGAAAGCGUGGGGAGCAAACAGG